Molecule: non-coding RNA, 73 nt
Organism: Pangasianodon gigas (Mekong giant catfish)
Lineage: Eukaryota; Metazoa; Chordata; Actinopteri; Siluriformes; Pangasiidae
Source: the annotation of a GenBank genome assembly
UCCCUGAUGGUCUAGCGGCUAAGGGUCCCGCGUUCCCGCUGCCACGCCCCAGGUUCGAUUCCCGGACAGGGAA